GCCCGAGUGGUGGAAUUGGUAGACACGCAGGACUUAAAAUCCUGUGCUCUUUGGAGCGUGUGGGUUCAAGUCCCACCUCGGGUA
RNAcentral lists this transfer RNA (84 nucleotides) under Saprospiraceae bacterium. RNAcentral describes it as "tRNA-Leu". It matches the Rfam family "tRNA". Rfam says of the family: Transfer RNA (tRNA) molecules are approximately 80 nucleotides in length. Their secondary structure includes four short double-helical elements and three loops (D, anti-codon, and T loops). Further hydrogen bonds mediate the characteristic L-shaped molecular structure. tRNAs have two regions of fundamental functional importance: the anti-codon, which is responsible for specific mRNA codon recognition, and the 3' end, to which the tRNAs corresponding amino acid is attached (by aminoacyl-tRNA synthetases). tRNAs cope with the degeneracy of the genetic code in two manners: having more than one tRNA (with a specific anti-codon) for a particular amino acid; and 'wobble' base-pairing, i.e. permitting non-standard base-pairing at the 3rd anti-codon position. The record is from RNAcentral. Lineage: Bacteria; Pseudomonadati; Bacteroidota; Saprospiria; Saprospirales; Saprospiraceae.